Long non-coding RNA from Sinocyclocheilus grahami, 947 nucleotides. RefSeq lists it as uncharacterized. The record is from RefSeq and is a predicted model, not a curated record. The transcript is spliced from 2 exons. NCBI's taxonomy places the organism in Eukaryota, Metazoa, Chordata, Actinopteri, Cypriniformes, Cyprinidae.
GAAGAAAGUUAGUCUUACAGGUUUGGAAUGACAUGAAGGACUCUGAUUCACCCCGGCACUCCACUGCCUCCAACAGCUCCACCUUCAGCAGCCCGCCGAGCCCUGCCUCCCCGCACAAGACAAAGUCCCUCUCACUGGAGAGCACAGACCGCACAGGGUGGGACACAUGAUGGACUCAACAAUGAACCAAUCACAACAAACUUUGAGUCUGCCAGUCACAGUGCUCCGUCCCCUCCCAUACAGUCGCACCCAGGCACUACAGGCCCCUCCCACUUCAUUUGCAUAAAGCAUCACCACUGGGGAACGUACACAGGAGAAACCACACCAACACAAGAGUUUGUAUGUUUGAGCGACCAGGACACGCAUGACUACGACCCCGCAAAAGCUGAUUGGAGGAAAAAGUGGAAGUUAGGUUCUGGGUUUUAAUGUGACUGGUGUUUGUACAUAGACUGGGUUAGGGUUGAACUUUUAUUUAUUUAUCAUUCAGCCAUUUCAAGGUGGAAAAUACUGUCACGUCCCUCACACUCGUUCUUCAGCUGUGGACCAUAUGGGAAUGAUGAUUCCAUUAUAGAAUCCCACUAAUUUACCUGGAGGAAAAAAUGCAAUGAUGUAUAUUUUUUAUUUGCUUUUAAAAGUGGUGUGUGCUGUGAUUCGUUUGUUACUUCGGCUAAAUGGAUGAGAGACCGCAGAUAUCAGGCGACCUCAUCUAUCGCUUCCUGUCCUAGAUUUGUAGGAAUAUAUAGAGGCUUUCUGACACGAUGAUGUCUUGGAAUCUGUCACCGUCAUCAUCGCCAAUCUCCACGUAAUCCAAACCUUCCGUGAACCAACAUGACCUGUGAAAACACAUCACAGUAAUGUACAUAGCUUAAAAGUAUAGUCUAAUAUAUAAUAAGGAAAUAUUGAAGAGAUAAACUAUGUGGAAAAAAAAAUCUCAUUGUUUUUAUUUU